CAUAGAAACCUUAAACGAAGUCGUAUGAUAUCCCAACUAACGGUUUUCGAUCGUUUGAAUUUCCGUGAGACCCAACGUUUCGAUAACGCCAUCAGUAACUCCGAUGGGCCAAGGCCAUGAACCCCCGGAAUCCCCACCGGCCGCCCCACCAUUAUUCCGCCGCAUACACGACCUGGACAACGCCGUCUCCUUCUUCAUCUACACUCUCACACGCCCCAUCGCCCCAAAACCCCUUCUCCGAUACCUAGAGCUUUUGGCGGACUUCCGAUUCUUCUUCCCAGUCUCCCUCGCCCUCUUCCUCGCCGCCCCCUCCUCCUCCCCUCUCCGACCUAACCUCCUCCUUCCCCUCCUCGUCUGCUCCCUUAUUGAUCUCCUUUUCAUCGCCCUCAUCAAAUUCCUCGUCCGCCGAUCCCGCCCCUCCUACUCCAACCACUCCCAAUACAACGCCGUCGUCCCCGUCGAUAACUUCUCCUUCCCUAGCGGUCACUCUUCCAGGGUCUGCUUCGUCGCUUCCGUCUUCUCCCUCUCCCGCCCCUCGCUCCUCGCCGAUCUCCACCAUCCGCGUGUGGCCUUGCUCGUGAAUCGCUGGUUCGGCGGAGAUCAGGCCCUCGCCGUUGAUAUUCUCAUCUCGGCCGUUUGGGCUUGGGCCGUGACCACUGUAAUUUCUCGCGUCGCUCUCGGGAGGCAUUACGUUAUCGAUGUCUUCUUUGGCGCGUGCUUCGGAGUCCUCGAAGCGUUCUUCACCUUCCGCCUUCUCGAAUUCCGAGGGUUGCUUUGAGGUAAGAUUAAGAACCUGGAGCUGGGAUUUUCGAAAGUGAUAACCUUACUCCCUGGUGAAUGUGGAGUUUCAUAUCACUACUCACCGGUUAGAUGUACUUGCCGAUUAUUAUCAUUUUUUAUGAUAUUCUAUUUAUAAUGUUUACUUUCAGUGAUUAUGUUCGAUGACUGUAACCGAAUUAUGGAGAAAAGUUUUAUACGUGGCUUCUCCAGAAGAUUCAAAAUUCUAGUAUGAGAGUGAUUGAAGGACGCUAUAUCUGCUAUGUUUGGUUUCCCGUUCAGCUGCUUUGAAUGGAAGUUUUUGUUGCCAAACUUAGUUUGGUUCUGAUGGAGAAAUUCGAACUUAUGCUACCCGAGGGUAAGCGUUCUUAAUUGGUUUCUAACAGAUAAUGAAGUCGUGAUUGGUUUGAGUACAUUGGCAUCUUGCUCCUUACCAGAUAAUUUUGGAGACCUUAAUUACUUUAGUUUAUCUCAACUCUACUUCAAAUUUGUUAAAAUUACUUGGGAGUUGCAUUCCUGUCCGUAAUUUAUUCCUUGGCAUUUAAGUCUCUACACAGGCGUAUAAACAAUAAAUGUAAGCAUGUGAUAAUACAUGGUACAGCAGACCUGUACAUAAUUUAUUUGCAGCCUUUUGUCGUAUGUUUUAUCCAGAACUAUAUCAUACAUCGAAUUUGCUACUGCUGUCAGAUGUUUCUAAUUUUUGCAGAGGUACUGAUGCAAAGACAGAUUGUUCUGUAUCGUUUGAAGACUUGAAAUGGGUUAUCUUUUCUGACAAUUGCUGCCAGAAUAAGAAGUUGGCUUAUGUCUAGUCUAUCUCCGAUUCCCACUUUGCCCGUUCAGUUCAUUGGUGGAAUCCACUACAGCUUGAGGGACUUACGACGUACGCGAAGCACUGGGCGUCUGGUAUUUUGCCAAGUGAAUGCUUACUGCUCAAGAUUUGGAGUGACUGUAACUUUGUAUUUUGUGGGACAUGCUUUGAUAUUCUCCUUGCAUGAUUGAUUUCUUAGUAAUGAGAGACUGACUCUCCGCAGAACUUAAACAUUUUUAACGUUUUCUUGUAUGCCCACCGCGAUUGGAAUGUUA
Vigna umbellata (rice bean) is the source of this 1860-nucleotide non-coding RNA. The record is from RefSeq and is a predicted model, not a curated record. NCBI's taxonomy places the organism in Eukaryota, Viridiplantae, Streptophyta, Magnoliopsida, Fabales, Fabaceae.